Molecule: ribosomal RNA, 471 nt
Filed under: uncultured bacterium
Lineage: Bacteria
Description: bacterial SSU rRNA
Rfam family: Bacterial small subunit ribosomal RNA
Source: RNAcentral
AGGGUUUGAUCAUGGCUCAGGAUGAACGCUGGCGGCGUGCUUAACACAUGCAAGUCGAACGAACCUUCGGGUUAGUGGCGGACGGGUGAGUAACGCGUGAGAAUCUGCCCUCAGGAGGGGGAUAACGGUUGGAAACGACCGCUAAUACCCCAUAUGCCUACUGGUGAAAUGAAUUUCGCCUGAGGAUGAGCUCGCGUCUGAUUAGCUAGUUGGUGAGGUAAUGGCUCACCAAGGCUUCGAUCAGUAGCUGGUCUGAGAGGAUGAUCAGCCACACUGGGACUGAGACACGGCCCAGACUCCUACGGGAGGCAGCAGUGGGGAAUUUUCCGCAAUGGGCGGAAGCCUGACGGAGCAACGCCGCGUGAGGGACGAAGGCCUCUGGGCUGUAAACCUCUUUUCUCAAGGAAGAAGAUAUGACGGUACUUGAGGAAUAAGCCACGGCUAAUUCCGUGCCAGCCGCCGCGGUAAUUC